GUACACUCCUGCGGGAGGCAGCAGUGGGGAAUUUUGGACAAUGGGCGCAAGCCUGAUCCAGCCAUGCCGCGUGCGGGAAGAAGGCCUUCGGGUUGUAAACCGCUUUUGUCAGGGAAGAAAAGGUUCUGGCUAAUACCUGGGACUCAUGACGGUACCUGAAGAAUAAGCACCGGCUAACUACGUGCCAGCAGCCGCGGUAAUACGUAGGGUGCAAGCGUUAAUCGGAAUUACUGGGCGUAAAGCGUGCGCAGGCGGUUAUGCAAGACAGAGGUGAAAUCCCCGGGCUCAACCUGGGAACUGCCUUUGUGACUGCAUGGCUAGAGUACGGUAGAGGGGGAUGGAAUUCCGCGUGUAGCAGUGAAAUGCGUAGAUAUGCGGAGGAACACCGAUGGCGAAGGCAAUCCCCUGGACCUGUACUGACGCUCAUGCACGAAAGCGUGGGGAGCAAACAGGAUUAGAUACCCUAGUAGUCCCAUGA
This 478-nucleotide ribosomal RNA is filed under the name uncultured organism. RNAcentral describes it as "partial 16S ribosomal RNA". It matches the Rfam family "Bacterial small subunit ribosomal RNA", at positions 331 to 800 of the family's 1533-position model. The record is from RNAcentral.